CAGAAAGCAGUGGAGACAAAGAGCUGCUAUUAACCUACAGAUGCUACUGCAGGGUUCAUUUUGAGAUUGGUCACACUGCUUAGCCAAUGAAGUGCUAGUGUAACUAUAAGGGACCACCCUUUUUGGGGUGAGAGGGCAAUUCGGUCUUCAUGCUCAUUUAAUCCUGAGAUGUC
This is an unclassified non-coding RNA of Coturnix japonica (Japanese quail), 173 nucleotides long. NCBI's taxonomy places the organism in Eukaryota, Metazoa, Chordata, Aves, Galliformes, Phasianidae. The record is from Ensembl.